GAAGUGCGAUAAGCAAUGCGAAUUGCAGAAUUCCGCGAGUCAUCAGAUCUUUGAACGCAAAUGGCGCCGGAGGGAUAUCCUUCUGGCAUGUCUGUUUCAGUGUCUGAGAGGUUUCACCAACAUCUUAAUGUGAUUGACAGCAGCAGCAGCAGCAAGCAAUUGUUGUGGUUGGUGUUGUCUCUCAUGAAAGAUGCGCGAGUGGAUCUUUCGGUCCAAUGAAGUGGUCACAUCACUCGUAUGUGAUUUCAUUGGGAGCACCGAAUUAUCCGCCAUGCUCGCGGUGUCAUCAUAUAAUAUAUGACGAAAGCAAGAAAGAAAGAAAGAGCUUCUUUCUUCUUCUUCUUCUUUGGUUGUAUUUUUGUUUCUCUCUCUACGCCCUGCAUCUGAGAUAGGCAAGAUCACCCGCUGAACUUAAGC
Molecule: unclassified non-coding RNA, 417 nt
Filed under: plant metagenome
Description: partial contains 5.8S ribosomal RNA, internal transcribed spacer 2, and large subunit ribosomal RNA
Rfam family: 5.8S ribosomal RNA (bases 1-105)
Source: RNAcentral